RNAcentral lists this ribosomal RNA (253 nucleotides) under uncultured bacterium. RNAcentral describes it as "partial 16S ribosomal RNA". It matches the Rfam family "Bacterial small subunit ribosomal RNA", at positions 524 to 776 of the family's 1533-position model. The record is from RNAcentral.
UACGUAGGUGGCGAGCGUUGUCCGGAUUUACUGGGCGUAAAGAGCGCGCAGGCGGUCGUGCAAGUCGCGUGUGAAAGCCCCCGGCUCAACUGGGGAGGGUCAUUCGAUACUGAUCGACUCGAAGGCAGGAGAGGGUAGUGGAAUUCCCGGUGUAGUGGUGAAAUGCGUAGAUAUCGGGAGGAACACCAGUGGCGAAGGCGACUACCUGGCCUGUUCUUGACGCUGAGGCGCGAAAGCUAGGGGAGCAAACGGG